GUCCGUCCGUCCGUGUUUCCAGUUAUAGCCUAUCUCCUAAAGUCUUCUUUAGAAUUUCUUGAAAUUUUGGGAGUAGAUUCUAGUCGUCAUUCUAAGACAUUCCAGAAAAAAAAAUUUGGGGGGAACGGGCCUCGUUUGGGAGCUAGCGCUCCUUGAAGUUCCCAUAUAAGUCCCAUAUAAGAACACCUUUAAGUGUAUGUGUGUGUUGAUUUUUUGAGUAGAGCAAAUUUGUUG
Molecule: long non-coding RNA, 234 nt
Organism: Bradysia coprophila
Lineage: Eukaryota; Metazoa; Arthropoda; Insecta; Diptera; Sciaridae
Source: RefSeq, a predicted model, not a curated record